RNAcentral lists this ribosomal RNA (253 nucleotides) under uncultured bacterium. Its description in RNAcentral is "partial 16S ribosomal RNA". It matches the Rfam family "Bacterial small subunit ribosomal RNA", at positions 524 to 776 of the family's 1533-position model. The record is from RNAcentral.
UACGAAGGGGGCUAGCGUUGUUCGGAAUUACUGGGCGUAAAGCGCACGUAGGCGGAUAUUUAAGUCAGGGGUGAAAUCCCAGAGCUCAACUCUGGAACUGCCUUUGAUACUGGGUAUCUUGAGUAUGGAAGAGGUAAGUGGAAUUGCGAGUGUAGAGGUGAAAUUCGUAGAUAUUCGCAAGAACACCAGUGGCGAAGGCGACUACCUGGCCUGUUCUUGAUGCUGAGGCGCGAAAGCUAGGGGAGCAAACGGG